This 1607-nucleotide small RNA is filed under the name Pan troglodytes (chimpanzee). RNAcentral describes it as "retained intron". The record is from RNAcentral. Lineage: Eukaryota; Metazoa; Chordata; Mammalia; Primates; Hominidae.
CCGUACUGGCUGUAGACACCUUCGUCUUUCUUUACCUCCCUGGAUACACAUGUAGUUUACUAUGGCACCUGUCUUCUCAUGGCAGUACUCUGUUCCCAAACAAACAUCAUUUUCUUCUGGAGAGGCUCUCUUUAAUCUUUAGGUUAACAGUUGUGUAAAUGGAAGGAUGGAAGAAUGCACAAUGACAUUUUAUCACACAAAAUAUGCAAAGGUAGGGACAUAGUAGGCAUUUUGUAUAACUUGUUAUGAGAAUGAAGUGCUAAAGCUCCAAUAUUUUUUUCUCACAUCAUACAGUGUUAACUGCUUCAGAUUUACCAGGAUUGUGCUCUUACAGGAGUCAUUCUCAUUUGACGAUUUAUCUGUGGACUUCACCCAAAAGGAGUGGCAGCUACUGGAUCCCUCUCAGAAGAAUUUAUACAAGGAUGUGAUGUUGGAGAACUAUAGCAGCCUAGUGUCACUGGGUAAUAAAAGCUUUCUUGAGGACCUUGGACUAUGCCCAAUGCAUUGCCUUUUAUUUUUAGUUGCUGGGAAGUUUCAGAAGCCUAUAGCUAGGCUUCUGAAAUUUUUAAUGAUUUUAGACCUGAAACUUAGAUCACAGUUGCUUGGACUAUGACACCAAGAAAGUAUUUGGGUCUCACCUUUCAAUAAUGAAGUCGUAAGUUUGUCAUGCAGCCUCUGAAACUUAAGUAGUAAUAGUUUGAGCAGUAGUGGUAGCACCUAAUGCAUAUAACUUACUAUAUGCCACAUCUUAUACCAAGUGCUUUACGUAUAUCAACUCAUUUAGUCAUCAGAGCAAUCCUAUGUGGCAAGUACAGUCAUUAUCCAUUUUUCCUGAUGAGAAGAUCGAGGCCAAGAGAGGUUAAGUAACUUUCCCAAGAACUAACAGCUAGUAAAUUAAAGAGCCUGGAUGUAAACCCAGGCUUACUGGCUCCAGAGCCUCUGAAGUGUUCAGUGGCUUUGUACUAGACCCUAUUAGCCACCAAGGGAGACCGUUACUGUAACUUUGAGAAUUACUUACUCUGUUGGGGUACAGCUUCACCAGGCCAACUUUGAUGUGAAACCUUGCUCAUCUUUAGAGGCCCUAAACCCCAAGCAGUUGGGCCCAAGGCCUUUGUGAUUUUUCCCUUAACAGGAUAUGAAGUUAUGAAACCAGAUGUCAUCUUCAAAUUGGAGCAAGGAGAAGAGCCGUGGGUAGGAGAUGGAGAAAUUCCAAGUUCAGAUUCUCCAGAAGUCUGGAAAGUAGAUGGUAACAUGAUGUGGCACCAGGAUAACCAAGACAAGCUUAAAAUUAUAAAAAGAGGUCAUGAAUGUGAUGCAUUUGGAAAAAAUUUCAAUCUGAACAUGAACUUUGUUCCUUUAAGGAAAUCAAACAGUGAAGGUGACUUAGAUGGAUUGAUUUUAAAACAUCAUUUAGAUUUGCUUAUUCCAAAAGGAGAUUAUGGAAAAGCAGAAUCAGAUGACUUUAAUGUGUUUGAUAAUUUUUUUCUCCAUUCCAAGCCUGAGGAUACUGAUACCUGGUUAAAAUACUAUGACUGUGAUAAAUAUAAAGAGAGCUAUAAAAAGUCACAGAUUAUCAUAUAUCAUAGAAAUCGUUUAGGGGAGAAACU